CCUCGUACGGGAAAGUGCUUCGUCCGUCGUCGCGUCGCUAUUCUCGAAGCUCCUCGUACGCGUGUAAACUCACCGUCCCGUUUCUCUCUCUCUCUCUCUCUCUCUCUGUCUUUCUCUCUCUCUCUCACUCUCUCAUUCUUAUUUCAUCUAUUUUACCCUCGUUUCCUUUAACGUUUUUCCUUUGACGUUUCGCGUGUAUUUUCGAAGAAAUAAAAAUCGUCGCUCGCCGUUCCCGGCUGACUCUCGAUUGACCUUGUAGCAAGCGCGGGAGAAGACAAGCUCGCCUUUUAAAGCGAGUUGUUUCCUACGCGCGGCUGUCACGCGCGUCUCGCAUUCCUUCCUUCCUUCUUACCGGCGAACGACCGUUUUGCGUGUUGCGGUUGCGUUUUGUGCGCGAGCGAGCUCUUUGUGUUCCGUGAAUCCUCGUUUGCUCAGUGUCGUUUUGUUAAUUUUUGAGGAUUUUUUAACCGGCCUGACGCAUUGUCUUGCAACAGUGAACUCCGAUCGAACUCCGAAGGAAACUUCUGAGGAGUCCGUACUUUCUGAGAGGGUCUUUCGCUUCGUCGACUUGAAGUGGCGUACACCGGUUUCGCUUCGGACUAGAACAGAGAGAUGCGCCGUUAUCAACGCGACCCGCACAGGAAGACUGUCAACGUCGAA
Pseudomyrmex gracilis is the source of this 660-nucleotide long non-coding RNA. RefSeq lists it as uncharacterized. The record is from RefSeq and is a predicted model, not a curated record. Lineage: Eukaryota; Metazoa; Arthropoda; Insecta; Hymenoptera; Formicidae. The transcript has 3 exons.